UACAGAGGUCUCAAGCGUUGUUCGGAUUUAUUGGGCGUAAAGGGUGCGUAGGCGGUCGGGUAAGUCUGACGUGAAAUCUCCAAGCUCAACUUGGAAAUGGCGUCGGAUACUAUUCGGCUUGAGGAAUGGAGGGGAGACUGGAAUUCUCGGUGUAGCAGUGAAAUGCGUAGAUAUCGAGAGGAACACCAGUGGCGAAGGCGAGUCUCUGGACAUUUCCUGACGCUGAGGCACGAAAGCCAGGGGAGCAAACGGG
This 253-nucleotide ribosomal RNA is filed under the name uncultured bacterium. Its description in RNAcentral is "partial 16S ribosomal RNA". It matches the Rfam family "Bacterial small subunit ribosomal RNA", at positions 524 to 776 of the family's 1533-position model. The record is from RNAcentral.